Molecule: ribosomal RNA, 840 nt
Filed under: Bacillus sp. PS-264
Lineage: Bacteria; Bacillati; Bacillota; Bacilli; Caryophanales; Bacillaceae
Description: bacterial SSU rRNA
Rfam family: Bacterial small subunit ribosomal RNA
Source: RNAcentral
CCAGCAGCCGCGGUAAUACGUAGGUGGCAAGCGUUGUCCGGAAUUAUUGGGCGUAAAGGGCUCGCAGGCGGUUUCUUAAGUCUGAUGUGAAAGCCCCCGGCUCAACCGGGGAGGGUCAUUGGAAACUGGGAAACUUGAGUGCAGAAGAGGAGAGUGGAAUUCCACGUGUAGCGGUGAAAUGCGUAGAGAUGUGGAGGAACACCAGUGGCGAAGGCGACUCUCUGGUCUGUAACUGACGCUGAGGAGCGAAAGCGUGGGGAGCGAACAGGAUUAGAUACCCUGGUAGUCCACGCCGUAAACGAUGAGUGCUAAGUGUUAGGGGGUUUCCGCCCCUUAGUGCUGCAGCUAACGCAUUAAGCACUCCGCCUGGGGAGUACGGUCGCAAGACUGAAACUCAAAGGAAUUGACGGGGGCCCGCACAAGCGGUGGAGCAUGUGGUUUAAUUCGAAGCAACGCGAAGAACCUUACCAGGUCUUGACAUCCUCUGACAACCCUAGAGAUAGGGCUUUCCCUUCGGGGACAGAGUGACAGGUGGUGCAUGGUUGUCGUCAGCUCGUGUCGUGAGAUGUUGGGUUAAGUCCCGCAACGAGCGCAACCCUUGAUCUUAGUUGCCAGCAUUCAGUUGGGCACUCUAAGGUGACUGCCGGUGACAAACCGGAGGAAGGUGGGGAUGACGUCAAAUCAUCAUGCCCCUUAUGACCUGGGCUACACACGUGCUACAAUGGACAGAACAAAGGGCUGCGAGACCGCAAGGUUUAGCCAAUCCCACAAAUCUGUUCUCAGUUCGGAUCGCAGUCUGCAACUCGACUGCGUGAAGCUGGAAUCGCUAGUAAUCGCGAU